UCCCUGGUAGCUCAGUCAGUAAAGAAUCUGCCCUCAGUGCAGGAGACCCAGGUUCAAUCCCUGGGUUGGGAA
RNAcentral lists this transfer RNA (72 nucleotides) under Bos taurus (domestic cattle). It matches the Rfam family "tRNA". From Rfam's summary of the family: Transfer RNA (tRNA) molecules are approximately 80 nucleotides in length. Their secondary structure includes four short double-helical elements and three loops (D, anti-codon, and T loops). The record is from Rfam by way of RNAcentral. RNAcentral also lists the same sequence under 5 other names. Lineage: Eukaryota; Metazoa; Chordata; Mammalia; Artiodactyla; Bovidae.